UUACUUCUUCCUGUGGACCUUUUUGUUUUUAUUUUUACACCCAUUUCCACACAAAAAUGUUAGCUUUCUAGCUAACAUGCUACCGAACAGAUUAGUUUAGCACAGCAUGAAUUUUAGCUAACAUGAGCUUAAAAUGGACAUUUCAUCUUUAUAUCACAGCAUUUUGCCUGAAGUUGUAAAUAGCUGUUUUUUUGUAUGCUUUUUACAUAUUAACACUAGCUUGCUGCUAGCUGAAAUUCAGUCGGUUAGUUACACAAGAUGGCGAUGUCUGUCUUACCUCAGGGGCUACAAGCGCGUUACUGCUGCUGCUUUCUGAGAGAAGUGUUUUAUGUGACUGUGAAGUUGUUUGUCAUCAGAAUGAUCGUUUUAACUGUUUAACAGAGAAGGUUUUCUUAUAAAAUACAUUAAAUCAGCUCUUCACUUUAUUGCUGUGUGCCUCAGUGUGUUAAUUCUGAGGGGUAUAAUUCAGAAAAAAACUGUUUUUCCAUGUGUUUCCAGUACUACACACAUCACUAGAGGAUAACCAGACAUUCAAUGGCCUAGAUGGCAGUGGAGUUUUCACAGAGAUGGACUCGUUCCUGGUGUCCACCCCGUGCGUUCUGUGUGAGUACUUUGUGCUAUUUUUGUGAAUAUUCAUAGGUCAGAUGCAUGACAACUUGUCACAAAGAUGUAUUCUGUUUUUGAUAAAUAGUUUGUUCAUAUUUCAGCUCAAUGUUUGUUCAUAUUGCAGCCCUUACCACCAAAUCUCUCAGAGAGUUAGAGGAUCUGAAUGUGUCACAGGUCUGAAUUUGGUGUCGCAGGAAGCUAUUUUUUUCUAAUCUCUAUACUUUAAAAUUAUACUUUUUUUUUAACCUUUACAACGUUUACAAAUAUCGCUGAUACUACUUUAGAUAAAACAAUCGUAAUGUUGCGCUGUCGCUAAGUUUUCAUCAGAUCUUACAAACAUCCAUGACUAGCUUGUAGGGCGCUAGCAUCACCUUGCCGCUAGCCUGGUUUACAUUUCACAUUUAUCUCAUUUACUGCUGUUUUAAAGGUGAAUAUGUCGGUUGUUUAUCCGCUUUUGAGUGUGGAUGAGGAUUCGCUCGAUUUGCAUAUGGUACUGUUGGAAUUGGAGGCCGUGGAGAAACAGAUCCGCGGCCUACUCGACAAGCAGGCCAGGUUGCACAAGCGAAGAACCGCACUGGAAACAGCUUGUACUACCACAUACAAAUCCAAGAUAAGCACACACUCCCAGCCCCUCUAUGCCGUGUGUUUCUCUGUGCAUGGACUGUGCACCCAAGACAUAUCCAGCCCAGGUCUUUGUCACGCCAGCGCCGACACAUCACAGACCUUGGGUGCACCAGCAGCGGAAGGUGCAGGACAGACCCCAAGUGUGUACCUCUCCCCCUCCACCACCCCCAGUCUUAGAAAUUCCAACCAGGAACCGCUUCGCCCCUCUCCAUCAGACCAGACCAAAUGCCGUGAUCGUCAGGGACUCCAUUGUGCGGAACGUCUGCGUUGCUUCAUCUAAGGGUAAGGUGCGCACACAUUGUUUCUCUGGUGCUUGUGUCCUUGAUGUCACAGGUACCAGGGAUCCUGAAGAAGGACGUGAGCAUUGGAGCGGUCGUGCUGCACGUGGGGGCAAACAACAUCAGGCUGCGGCAGACGGAGGUUCUGAAGAGGGACUUCGCCAGCCUGAUUGAGACGCUACGAAGCAGAUCACCCACCAUGUAGAUCAUCGUCUCUGGACCUCUUCCCACACACAGACGUGGAACUGAAAAGUUCAGUAGAUUUCUUGCUUUGAAUGACUGGUUAGUUUCUUGGUGUAAUGCAGGGGUUCCCAAACUUUUCCAGGGCAAAGCCCCCAAAUGGCAUUAGCAUUUGAUCGAGGCCCCCCUUCUGCAAGAUGUCUUUAAAACACAUUAAAAAUACAGACUUCUGAAUAUAUCCCCCUUUUUUAUGUUGAUGUUUUGUCUGUUUAGCAAUUCGAAAGUUAGGUAUAGCAAAUGUGAUUUUAAUAUGUAUUGGUACAAAUAACAUGUUACAGUAAUGCAUAUAAUAUAUAAAAAUAAUCAUGUAUUAAUUUAUUUUUCACACCAAAUUGUUGAGGCCCCCCUGGCAGCCCCCACUUUGAAAACCACUGGUGUAAUGAACACUAUCUGCUGUUUGUUUAUAACUGGAAUCUGUUCUGGGAGCGUCCUAGGUUGUUUCGUCCUGAUGGCUGGCACCCCAGCAGCCUCGGAGCGGAACUGCUGACAGACAGCAUCUCCAAGGCACUACACUCCAAGUGACUGCCUACCCAAUUUCAGCAUUGGACUCAUUUCCAUCUUUUUUGGCCUCUCCUUCACUUACUGUUUGGAAGUCACUGCUUGCAUCUGAUUCAGCAACUGUCAUUCUGUAUUUCUGUUUCAUUGCUUACAUUUUGAACCCUUAGCAAUAAGUUUUUCCAUUUGUGUAUUCAAGUUUGUUUUUCCUUGAUUUAAUGUGCUUGUGUGGGAAUUUGCUGUGUGACAAUUAUUUUUUAUAUGGGAGUAUGCAAAGACUGCUGCUUAUAAACAAUAUGUCAUUAAUUACAGUUUUUAAUCAGUUAAUAUAUAACUGCACAAUGGUGGAUUCUUUCACUAUUGCAUGAAUAGGUGCACUGUGACUUAGAUUAUGAAGCACACAUUAGAUUGACAGUAUUUAAAUGCCAUAGUAGUUGUGGGGAAAAUAAUUUAAUGAACAAAAAUGACAAGGUGUCAGAUAUUUUUAUUAAUUUUAAAUACAAUAGAAUUAUUAUAGUAUAAAUAUAAACAGGUUUAAUUGUAUUUCAAUAUAAAGGCCAUGUUUUACAGAAUAUUGAGUAGUUUCUAAACCAAUAUUAAGAAAAAUAUUGUUCCAUAGUAGCUAUUAAUUAUUUUUAUUAGUAAAACCAUAGCAACCACAAGUAUACAUGGUUUUUGUUUUUUAUUUUUACUAUGGUUUAUUUGCAAUAAAACCACAGUAAUGUCACUCUCCAAAAAAAAAAAAAAAAAAACAUGGUUUCUGCAUAAAGUCCAUUGUCAGAGAUAAUUUAAGGGAUGUUUUUAAUGAAUAACCACAUACCUUAAAGUUAAAUCCAUAGCGUUGUCUGCCAGUGAACGUUAUAAACCGGAUAAAAAUUUGGACGUCCUCCUAACAUCCAUCAGCGAGUGUUACAAAGCUGACCUAAGUGGACGUUCGCAACGUCUGGCGGACGUCCCCUGUUUGCUGGGAAGAUUCUUUUUUUUUUUUUUCCUUUUUUGCCUUUUGUCAGUACAUAGCAAAAUCCUGUGUGUUAAAUUAACACUUCUACUAUAAUAUAGUACAGAGUAACACUGAAUCAUUGUUGCAGUUAAUUAGAUAAUUAAGUGAUUAAGUGAUCAUUGACCAUUAGUGAUAACACCUGCUGUUAACAAGCAGACUCACUGCAGGAAAGAUGAACAAGAACAGAAAAAAGAGAAGAGACAAAUGACUUACAGCCUUAGAUGAAAUCAACUGUAAAAAAAGAGCACAUUAAAUCUCUCAAGAUCUCACCAGAGGAUGAUUAAAAUUUCCAAAAACAGCAUUAGCUUAGUUUUCCUUUUCUCUUAUACAUGUAUAAAAGUUCUUAUUGAGAAUUAACAAAUGUUUAGCUCUAGUUAAUGUUUUACUGUAAAUAAGUUCAGUUUGAAGUCACCAUUAUGGUUAGCGUUUUUUUGUUGUUGUUGUUGUUCUGCACUUGACCCUGGACUUUUAUUAAAUUAAUUCUCUUUCAGCAAUUGCAGGAAUGUUUCCCUAAAAGCACUUGUGCAUUGGUGAAGAAAUAGAUUGACGAAUAAGCAAUUCAGCUGAAGAUGUCUGCUUUUAUGACAUUUAAAUGCCUAUAAUAAAAUCAUGAGGUUGAGGCAUUAAUGAUUGUUAAAAAUGUUCUAUUAAACAAAUGCAGCUGCUGUGAUAGAAAAAUCACUGCAAUGCAUUGGCACAAGAUGAACAGGGAUGUUCUCUCAAAGACGGAACAUCAUCUUUUGUGUAAGAAUUUUUAACUGAACACCGAGGUACGCUUAAGGUACGUUUACACAUAAAGUGAUAACACACUUAUAAUCAGUGACUAGACUUUGGAUGAGAUGAGAAUCAAGCCACUUCUUGAUGACUGACACCAUUAAUAAGCAGCCAACAUCACCUAAUCUCUUUUUAUCUCAGCAUUCUUUGCCACAACAAAUGUGUUUUAUAAACACACUGUUACAAUGGUCAGAGGAAAACUAACAUUAAAAAACAAGAGCCAAGUGCCCAACUAAAGGGAACACUAAUCAACAUAUAUGGUGACUUCAAACAAACUAUUAUUUUCAAUAUAACAUCAAUAUUACCUAGAGUUAAACCCUUUGGUACAUGUUUGAAAGAACUAAAGGUAAACUAGUAAUAAGUACAGAUGGUAAUGCUGUUUUUGGAGUUGUUAAAUCAUUCUCUGAUAAGAGCUUGAGAAAUUUAAUGUGUUCUUUUAUUUGCAGGUGAUGUCAUCUAAGACUGUGUGGCUGUCAGUUGUAGUUACUGUAUGUCUGCUCAUCUCUUCUCUUUUUUCUGUUCUUGUUAAUCUUUCCUUCAGUGGUUCUACUUGUUAACAGCAGGUGUCAUCACUCAUCGUCAAUCAUCACUUAAUUAUCUGCAACACUGCUUCAGUGUUACUUUUUACUCUCUGUAGAAUAGACUUAUGUAGACACAGAGAAGUGUUAAUUUAACACAGGAUUUUGCUGUGUAGUCUCUGACCCAGCCUAAAUUUUGUCUUACUUGGCUCCAAAAUAAAAUCAUAUUUCUACCAUAUUUCUACCAAACCCAACAUUUACCAAAUAAAUGCUUCUACCAUAUUUCUACCAAACCCAACAUUUACCAAAGAAAUGCUUUCAUUUAUAGAGCUGUCACACUAUCACUCAUGCACUACACACACUGUGCACACAGUAGCAUCUCUCUGUUGGAUCUCAAAAGAAUAAAUAUUAAAUAUUAACUUUUGCAUUCAUUGCACAUAUUUUUAAUCACAAAAUAAUGUUCUUCAUUGUUAUUAAAAGAAAACCUUCCCAGAAAAUGAUUAUAGUAAAAUGCAGCUUAAAGCAACUCAAAGCUGCACUAUCAUAGUAGUAUUGCACUAAUAUUUGCUGUAAUGAUUUGUCAGUAAAAGAAAAAUACUUAUUUUUUCCAGCAGCCCUUUUUGGGGGGGAAAAAACCCUUGGUGUUUUAAAGUCUUUUUCCUUUCUCCACAAGAUGGUGUAGUCGGUUAUUUUAUUGUGGGCCAAGUACUAGGACCCUGUUCACCUGCUCCAUUACUUUGCACAAUAAUAUAGAUUAUAACUGUUCUUCAAUAAUACAUACAUAGUACUUUUUAUAUGUAAUGCAUUGCCUUAAAAAAGAUGGUACAGAUUUGUGAUCUUAUUGCAGUGUUUCCAAUCUUUGGAGCUUCAGUAAUGAUUAUUCGAUCAAGCUGAUUAGUAUAAUUUUCAACUGAUCAUCAAUACAAUGCCUUGUUCCUCUUAAUGAAGAAAAUGUAAGUUGCAGUCGGGCUAUAAAUGCAAUUUCGUAAUAAUGUGUGACCUGUAAUAUAUUUGUCUCCAGCAUGGAGAACAAAUUCUGCUGCAAUGAAUAAAAUGGGCUCUGGACAAGUUAUUUUAUAAUGGGGGUGUUUGUGAAGGGAUAAUGUAAAUACUUCAUUUGCUUACACAGUUUCAUGUUUAAAUGACAACUAUAACCAUGA
This is a long non-coding RNA of Ictalurus furcatus (blue catfish), 5695 nucleotides long. RefSeq lists it as uncharacterized. The transcript is spliced from 3 exons. The record is from RefSeq and is a predicted model, not a curated record. NCBI's taxonomy places the organism in Eukaryota, Metazoa, Chordata, Actinopteri, Siluriformes, Ictaluridae.